RNAcentral lists this microRNA precursor (126 nucleotides) under Myotis davidii. RNAcentral's name for it is "mir-9193 microRNA precursor family". It matches the Rfam family "mir-9193 microRNA precursor family". Lineage: Eukaryota; Metazoa; Chordata; Mammalia; Chiroptera; Vespertilionidae. The record is from Rfam by way of RNAcentral.
CGUGCAUCAGUGGGGUCCCUUGGCCUGGCCUGUGGCAUUGUACUGAAUCUGGCUCUACAACAUCCCCUGAGGGGUCUAGGAUUGUGAGAGGGCACAGGCCAGGCCGAGGGACCCCACUGGUGCAUG